GCCUUAGUGGUGUAACGGCUAGCACGGAAGACUGUGGAUCUUCAAGCCCGGGUUCAACUCCCGGCUAAGGCC
Non-coding RNA from Candidatus Micrarchaeum sp. AZ1, 72 nucleotides. NCBI's taxonomy places the organism in Archaea, Nanobdellati, Microcaldota, Candidatus Micrarchaeia, Candidatus Micrarchaeales, Candidatus Micrarchaeaceae. The record is from Rfam.